UCCAGCUGAAGGCAACUGCCUUGGUUGCCUUGUACCAAGGCAAGAGUUUCCCUGCUGGGAGAAAAGCAACCAGUAGCUGGCAGGCCUCCUGGUCCUGGUUAAUGCCUAAUUUGUGUUAACUAU
Molecule: small nucleolar RNA, 123 nt
Filed under: Ochotona princeps (American pika)
Lineage: Eukaryota; Metazoa; Chordata; Mammalia; Lagomorpha; Ochotonidae
Description: Small nucleolar RNA SNORA74 (ENSOPRG00000024031.1)
Source: RNAcentral